GAUUAAAUGGCUGAAUUAUAGGCAUUAAAUUGUAAAUUUAAUUAUGAAAAAAAAUUUCUUUAAUCA
RNAcentral lists this transfer RNA (66 nucleotides) under Thienemanniella tusimufegea. Its description in RNAcentral is "tRNA-Tyr". The record is from RNAcentral. Lineage: Eukaryota; Metazoa; Arthropoda; Insecta; Diptera; Chironomidae.